GACGAACGCUGGCGGCGUGCUUAACACAUGCAAGUCGAACGGAAAGGCCCUGCUUUUGUGGGGUGCUCGAGUGGCGAACGGGUGAGUAACACGUGAGUAACCUGCCCUUGACUUUGGGAUAACUUCAGGAAACUGGGGCUAAUACCGGAUAGGAGCUCCUGCUGCAUGGUGGGGGUUGGAAAGUUUCGGCUGGGGAUGGACUCGCGGCUUAUCAGCUUGUUGGUGGGGUAGUGGCUUACCAAGGCUUUGACGGGUAGCCGGCCUGAGAGGGUGACCGGCCACAUUGGGACUGAGAUACGGCCCAGACUCCUACGGGAGGCAGCAGUGGGGAAUAUUGCACAAUGGGCGGAAGCCUGAUGCAGCAACGCCGCGUGCGGGAUGACGGCCUUCGGGUUGUAAACCGCUUUCGCCUGUGACGAAGCGUGAGUGACGGUAAUGGGUAAAGAAGCACCGGCUAACUACGUG
This 465-nucleotide ribosomal RNA is filed under the name uncultured bacterium. RNAcentral describes it as "partial 16S ribosomal RNA". It matches the Rfam family "Bacterial small subunit ribosomal RNA", at positions 28 to 507 of the family's 1533-position model. The record is from RNAcentral.